CAGCAGUAGCCGCGGUAACACGGAGGGUGCAAGCGUUAAUCGGAAUUACUGGGCGUAAAGCGCACGCAGGCGGUCUGUCAAGUCAGAUGUGAAAUCCCCGGGCUUAACCUGGGAACUGCAUUUGAAACUGGCAGGCUAGAGUCUUGUAGAGGGGGGUAGAAUUCCAGGUGUAGCGGUGAAAUGCGUAGAGAUCUGGAGGAAUACCGGUGGCGAAGGCGGCCCCCUGGACAAAGACUGACGCUCAGGUGCGAAAGCGUGGGGAGCAAACAGGAUUAGAUACCCCGGUAGUCCCUGUCUCUUAUAC
This 304-nucleotide ribosomal RNA is filed under the name uncultured bacterium. Its description in RNAcentral is "partial 16S ribosomal RNA". It matches the Rfam family "Bacterial small subunit ribosomal RNA", at positions 506 to 807 of the family's 1533-position model. The record is from RNAcentral.